UCUGGAACCAGCCCCACUGGUGGUUGUGUUGGGUCUCUGGGCUGUGCUAAGGAAUUUAGCAAGACUGAAUCUGUUUAUGCAGGUACCUCUGGGCUUGUUUACACCCAGGCAGGCUUUGUGGGGCCAUCUCACCAGCCUGCUUGGCUCUGUCUCCAUUUAUUCACUGAAGGCAAGCAGAACUUUGCCCUCACCCAUCUGCUCCAAAGUCUGAUCUGGAUUUCAAGACAAAAUCUUGGGAGCAAGAACAAAAUCGAAAUGGACAUUACUUCAGCCAAAAUUACUUUGGAUGGCUGAGACUCAGGACGCAAUUCUGAAGACUUGCAAGUGGCACCUCUUACCCAGCCUGCUGGAGGAGACCUCAUGAAAAAUCAUGUUUGGAAGGUAGAACAGAGCCAGCUUACCCAGAGUCUCAAAGAAGCUAAAAUGGCCUCACUGAGCUCUUCCAUCACAGAGCAGAGUGAGGAUUCAGUUCAGUCUCCUGUGCUGAAUAAAACAACAAUAUUCACCUCCACCCAA
This is a long non-coding RNA of Passer domesticus (house sparrow), 516 nucleotides long. RefSeq lists it as uncharacterized. The record is from RefSeq and is a predicted model, not a curated record. NCBI's taxonomy places the organism in Eukaryota, Metazoa, Chordata, Aves, Passeriformes, Passeridae. The transcript is spliced from 3 exons.